GGGGGUGUUCCGGAUUCGACUCGGAGCUGUAGGUUAUGGCUGCAGGACGGAGAUGAUGGUUGGCUCCGUUACCAAAUCCAUCACAUUACAAAUGGCGAAAAAAACAUCGUCGAGUUCGCCCCACAAGGCGAACUCCUGGCUGCUUAGUUCAGUCACGUCUCACCCCGGAUGCUCGUUAAGGGAAUGAGGCGUAAGCUAGCGAGUAUAGUUUGCGGCGGGUGACCGGUCGUAAACCGUAAUAAACAGGUUAAUCGGGUUCAUGUAGCGUGUCAGUUCGCGCCAUGACCCCAAACUCAAACAACUGACUAUUUCUGUAGACGCUAUAAUUGAAACCUCCGGACACGCGGGUUCGACUCCCGCCACCUCCACCA
RNAcentral lists this transfer-messenger RNA (371 nucleotides) under Cerasicoccus arenae. Its description in RNAcentral is "Standard tmRNA". It matches the Rfam family "transfer-messenger RNA". From Rfam's summary of the family: Bacterial tmRNA, also known as 10Sa RNA or SsrA, is named for its dual tRNA and mRNA-like properties. The record is from Rfam by way of RNAcentral. Lineage: Bacteria; Pseudomonadati; Verrucomicrobiota; Opitutia; Puniceicoccales; Cerasicoccaceae.